AUCCGUGAAGCAGUCGGAACCCGUGACGUGUGUUGGCCAAGGCACGAAACUUGACGCCGUUCUCUUACCAAUGAAAAAGUCUUGCUUAUAAGGUCCAACUCGACAGCAACAAGAUGUGGUUGCAUGCAGUACCUGUUUUCCUCUUAUUGGCUAACGCGCUCGCGGCACCCAGCCGUCCCAGAGGAAUCCCAAAUGCAGAGGCGGAACUGCAUCUCCCAGCGGAGCGAGAGGACUCCAGCGGAGGCGGCAUCUUGCAGUCCAUCCUGCAGACCUUGAAUCCUUUCUACAGUCGGAAGAGCAGGGAUUUAGGUAUGCAUUAGGGUUACUGGGGGAGGA
Penaeus vannamei (Pacific white shrimp) is the source of this 336-nucleotide non-coding RNA. NCBI's taxonomy places the organism in Eukaryota, Metazoa, Arthropoda, Malacostraca, Decapoda, Penaeidae. The record is from RefSeq and is a predicted model, not a curated record.